Molecule: long non-coding RNA, 1500 nt
Organism: Lingula anatina
Lineage: Eukaryota; Metazoa; Brachiopoda; Lingulata; Lingulida; Lingulidae
Source: RefSeq, a predicted model, not a curated record
UUUUUUUUUUUUUAUGGCCACGUGCCAUACAAGACAUGAUGGCCUUGUGGCUAACAUGUCACACCUGAUAUUGAGAAGUCCUGGUUCAACCUCUAGAUUGGAACUUUUUUCAUAAAUAUUUCUAAACUGUUAUUCACUGACCGUGCUCUAUGAUCUCAUAUUUUACAUGCACAUGACUGCUAUCAAUUAGUCAGUGAGCGACAAAAUUUGUGACCAUGUAUAUGUUAUAACCCCCCUUCCCCCAACCCUCCAAGUAACCCAUAAAGUCUGGCCGAGACUAUGUUUUAGAAAUGAACAAUAUGCUAUUCCAUUUUUGCGAGUGCAAAAUAUUUUGAGUGUUAUGAACUCCAAAUGCCACUGUGACAACAGUUUCUUUGGGUCUUUUAACUCCAUAUUCCUUGCCAAUAUCCAAUGAUGUAAAGAAUUAGACUUCAUUUGAACUCUUUUUUUUUUCCUGUCAAUGUGGUGAGUUGGCCAGCCAAUGGGAACAGUUAUAUUGAUGCCUACUUUCUUGUUGCCUUGACUGUUACUGUCACAGGAAACUCACAAGAGCGUGAAGCAUGUUAGUUGCACUAUAGGACAAAAUAUAUGUGACUCAAGUGGAAAAAGAAAAAUGCAACAGAAAAAACCCAAGCCAAUAUUUGAAAGCAGUGGAGGUAUUGAAGAAAAGGACAAAAUUUACAAGUGAAGGUCAAGGUGGAGAUGAUUGUUGAGGAGACUCAAGUUGGAAUAUGGUUUUUCACUACUUUGUGAAAAGUGAAGCAAAGGCUUGGAGAGAGAUGCUUUGAGAAUUUAGUUUAGAUCAAGAGAAUCUGCUCAACAAGUGCAAUGCAGAUCCAAUGGGGCAAAAUCACAAAACCAGACCAGUAUUUUGGAAGAAGGCCAUCAGUCUGGGGUCAAGUAAUUAAGGAAACCACUGCAAGGGGGCCUGGAAUCCCCAUCCCCAAACCACACAUGUAAUAUCAGUCAAGAAACUUGGGGAUAUUUGUCAGCUACAGCCUUCUUGACUUCAAACCAAAGGCACAAUAAUACUUGAAUAUUUUAGGGAAAAUAUAUCUAUUAUUUUGCAUAACUGAAUUGUUGUUUGUAGUGACACUGUUAGAAAGCCAUGAACAAUGUAUACAAUCAUGGGCAUAAGAAAUAGACAUUAAAAAAAGAAAACACUGAAGACUAUUAAGAAUGUGAGGAUGGUGCUUUGGAGCAAUAUUAAACAUGUCUAUUGUUGACAGUAUAAUAAGGCAGUUUAAUUGUGAUAGUUUCAAUUUUUGACUACAAAUUGAUUGAACCCUAUAUGGAAACUUAUUCUGAAAUGGUAAGACUUUCUAGACAAUUGCUUUUAGAUUUUUAAUACAACUUUGCAUCCUUCAAAAAUUACGUGUCCCAUUGAUUCUCUCUAAAGUUUCACAUUCUUUUGUAGUACAUACAUGUAAGGAGAUUUUUGAACUAAUUCAUUUGAAACCAUAAAAAGGUAACAAUAAAAAAAUGAUAACUUGAAAAACA